Molecule: ribosomal RNA, 429 nt
Filed under: uncultured prokaryote
Description: bacterial SSU rRNA
Rfam family: Bacterial small subunit ribosomal RNA
Source: RNAcentral
UAGGGAAUUUUGCGCAAUGGACGAAAUGUCUGACGCAGCGACGCCGCGUGUGGGAUGAAGGGUUUCGGCUCGUAAACCACUGUCAGAUGGGAAGAUGGGGUUGUAAGUUAAUACCUUACUAUCCUGACUGUACCAUCAGAGGAAGCACCGGCUAACUACGUGCCAGCAGCCGCGGUAAUACGUAGGGUGCUAGCGUUACUCGGAAUCAUUGGGCGUAAAGGGUGUGUAGGCGGAAUAGUAAGUCAGAUGUGAAAGCCUUGGGCUUACCCCAAGAAGUGCAUUUGAUACUGCUAUUCUAGAGUUCGGGAGAGGGAGGCAGAAUUCCAGGUGUAGAGGUGAAAUCCGUAGAUAUCUGGAGGAAUACCGGAGGCGAAGGCGGCCUCCUGGACCGAUACUGACGCUGAGACACGAAAGCGUGGGGAGCAAACA